GACGAACGCUGGCGGCGUGCUUAACACAUGCAAGUCGAACGGAAAGGCCCUGCUUUUGUGGGGUGCUCGAGUGGCGAACGGGUGAGUAACACGUGAGUAACCUGCCCUUGACUUUGGGAUAACUUCAGGAAACUGGGGCUAAUACCGGAUAGGAGCUCCUGCUGCAUGGUGGGGGUUGGAAAGUUUCGGCGGUUGGGGAUGGACUCGCGGCUUAUCAGCUUGUUGGUGGGGUAGUGGCUUACCAAGGCUUUGACGGGUAGCCGGCCUGAGAGGGUGACCGGCCACAUUGGGACUGAGAUACGGCCCAGACUCCUACGGGAGGCAGCAGUGGGGAAUAUUGCACAAUGGGCGGAAGCCUGAUGCAGCAACGCCGCGUGCGGGAUGACGGCCUUCGGGAUGUAACCGCUUUCGCCUGUGACGAAGCGUGAGUGACGGUAAUGGGUAAAGAAGCACCGGCUAACUACGUG
RNAcentral lists this ribosomal RNA (467 nucleotides) under uncultured bacterium. Its description in RNAcentral is "partial 16S ribosomal RNA". It matches the Rfam family "Bacterial small subunit ribosomal RNA", at positions 28 to 507 of the family's 1533-position model. The record is from RNAcentral.